UACGGAGGGUGCAAGCGUUAAUCGGAAUUACUGGGCGUACAGCGCGCGUGGGUGGCUUGAUAAGCCGGUUGGGAAAGCGCCGGGCUCAACCUGGGGACGGCAUCCGGAACUGUCAGGCUAGAGUGCAGGAGAGGAAGGUAGAAUUCCCGGUGUAGCGGUGAAAUGCGUAGAGAUCGGGAGGAAUACCAGUGGCGAAGGCGGCCUUCUGGACUGACACUGACACUGAGGUGCGAAAGCGUGGGUAGCAAACAGG
This 253-nucleotide unclassified non-coding RNA is filed under the name uncultured Halomonadaceae bacterium. RNAcentral describes it as "contains 16S-23S intergenic spacer region". It matches the Rfam family "Bacterial small subunit ribosomal RNA", at positions 524 to 776 of the family's 1533-position model. The record is from RNAcentral. Lineage: Bacteria; Pseudomonadati; Pseudomonadota; Gammaproteobacteria; Oceanospirillales; Halomonadaceae.